GGCCCGGUGGCCGAGUGGUAAGGCACUGGACUGCAAAUCCAUGGUUUCCGAAAGGGACGCAGGUUCAAAUCCUGUCUGGGCCUCCA
Molecule: transfer RNA, 86 nt
Filed under: Acidobacteriota bacterium
Lineage: Bacteria; Pseudomonadati; Acidobacteriota
Description: Acidobacteria bacterium tRNA-Cys
Rfam family: tRNA
About the family: Transfer RNA (tRNA) molecules are approximately 80 nucleotides in length. Their secondary structure includes four short double-helical elements and three loops (D, anti-codon, and T loops).
Source: RNAcentral